UUUCGGACAAAUGUUUAAAUAUCUCUGUGACAAUCUCUGUCAGGUCAGAUUUUUUUCGGGACAUUUUUCAGGGACUGCUUGAUUUCAUCAAGUUCGUUUUCUAUACAAAUGCUAUGGUCCGAGGAACUGGAGAGGCAAGAGUGGAGACGCUUGGCUGGAUUUGUGAUAUUAUGUUUAUCUCCUGUUUUCUCUAAAAAUGCUGAUUCCUCGGCAUUAUUGGUGUUUUUGGCUGACAGUUUAUCAACUUUAACAGUAGAAAUGAAACUGGUUAUUUGUUGUUGUUGUUGAGACAUAUUUCAUUAGGUGAUUUAAACGUUUGAAAGUUCACUUAUGUGUACAU
This 340-nucleotide long non-coding RNA is filed under the name Mytilus galloprovincialis (Mediterranean mussel). Lineage: Eukaryota; Metazoa; Mollusca; Bivalvia; Mytilida; Mytilidae. The record is from RNAcentral.